UACGUAGGGUCCGAGCGUUGUCCGGAGUUACUGGGCGUAAAGCGUGCGCAGGCGGUUUUGUAAGCCAGAUGUGAAAUCCCCGGGCUCAACCUGGGAAUGGCAUUUGGGACUGCAAGGCUGGAGUGCGGCAGAGGAGACUGGAAUUCCUGGUGUAGCAGUGGAAUGCGUAGAUAUCAGGAGGAAUACCGAUGGCGAAGGCAGGUCUCUGGGCUGACACUGACGCUCAUGCACGAAAGCGUGGGGAGCAAACAGG
RNAcentral lists this ribosomal RNA (253 nucleotides) under uncultured bacterium. Its description in RNAcentral is "partial 16S ribosomal RNA". It matches the Rfam family "Bacterial small subunit ribosomal RNA", at positions 524 to 776 of the family's 1533-position model. The record is from RNAcentral.